UACGGAGGGGGCAAGCGUUGUUCGGAAUUACUGGGCGUAAAGCGCGCGUAGGCGGCUUUGCAAGUCGGGUGUGAAAUCCCCAGGCUUAACCUGGGAACUGCAUUCGAGACUGCAUUGCUAGAGUAUGGGAGAGGAAAGCGGAAUUCCUGGUGUAGCGGUGAAAUGCGUAGAUAUCAGGAGGAACACCAGUGGCGAAGGCGGCUUUCUGGUCUGUAACUGACGCUGAGGCGCGAAAGCGUGGGGAGCAAACAGG
RNAcentral lists this ribosomal RNA (253 nucleotides) under uncultured bacterium. RNAcentral's name for it is "partial 16S ribosomal RNA". It matches the Rfam family "Bacterial small subunit ribosomal RNA", at positions 524 to 776 of the family's 1533-position model. The record is from RNAcentral.